This 383-nucleotide ribosomal RNA is filed under the name Amanita cf. similis. RNAcentral's name for it is "eukaryotic LSU rRNA". It matches the Rfam family "Eukaryotic large subunit ribosomal RNA", at positions 1 to 375 of the family's 3401-position model. Lineage: Eukaryota; Fungi; Basidiomycota; Agaricomycetes; Agaricales; Amanitaceae. The record is from RNAcentral.
UUGACCUCAAAUCAAGCAAGACUGCCCGCUGAACUUAAGCAUAUCAAUAAGCGGAGGAAAAGAAACUAACGAGGAUUCCCCUAGUAACUGCGAGUGAAGCGGGAAAAGCUCAAAUUUAAAAUCUGGCAGUGGUUCACUGUCCGAGUUGUAAUCUAGAGAAGUGUUGCUCAUGCUGGACCAUGUAUAAGUCUUCUGGAAUGAAGCGUCGUAGAGGGUGAGAAUCCCGUCUUUGACAUGGACUCCCAGUGUAUUUGUAGCAUGCUCUCAAAGAGUCGAGUUGUUUGGGAAUGCAGCUCUAAAUGGGUGGUAACCUCCAUCUAAAGCUAAAUAUUGGCGAGAGACCGAUAGUGAACAAGUACCGUGAGGGAAAGAUGAAAAGAAUC